GGCCAACGCAGUGCCAGCAGCCGGGGUAAUACGGAGGGGCCGAGCGUGGUCCGGAAGUAUUAGGCGUAAAGUGAUCGUGGGGGGUUUGUUGCGUAGGAGGUGAAAUCCUCCAGCUUAACUGGGAGCUGGCUUUCGGUACGGGCAGACUUGAGGUACUCAGGGGAGAAUGGAAUUCCUGGUGUAGCGGUGAAAUGCGCAGAUAUCAGGAGGAACACCGGUGGCGAAGGCGGUUCUCUGGGAGUUACCUGACGCUGAGGAGCGAAAGUGUGGGGAGCGAACAGGAUUAGUACCCCAGUAGUC
Molecule: ribosomal RNA, 300 nt
Filed under: uncultured Costertonia sp.
Lineage: Bacteria; Pseudomonadati; Bacteroidota; Flavobacteriia; Flavobacteriales; Flavobacteriaceae
Description: bacterial SSU rRNA
Rfam family: Bacterial small subunit ribosomal RNA
Source: RNAcentral